CGUUCGGAUUAUUGGGCGUAAGCGCGCGCAGGUGGUUUCUUAAGUCUGAUGUGAAAGCCCACGGCUCAACCGUGGAGGGUCAUUGGAAACUGGGAGACUUGAGUGCAGAAGAGGAAAGUGGAAUUCCAUGUGUAGCGGUGAAAUGCGUAGAGAUAUGGAGGAACACCAGUGGCGAAGGCGACUUUCUGGUCUGUAACUGACACUGAGGCGCGAAAGCGUGGGGAGCAAACAGGAUUAGAUACCCCGGUAGUCCA
This 254-nucleotide ribosomal RNA is filed under the name Bacillus mycoides. RNAcentral describes it as "partial 16S ribosomal RNA". It matches the Rfam family "Bacterial small subunit ribosomal RNA", at positions 548 to 797 of the family's 1533-position model. The record is from RNAcentral. Lineage: Bacteria; Bacillati; Bacillota; Bacilli; Caryophanales; Bacillaceae.